GUGGGGAAUCUUCCGCAAUGGACGAAAGUCUGACGGAGCAACGCCGCGUGAGUGAAGAAGGUUUUCGGAUCGUAAAGCUCUUUCGUUAGGGACGAACGUGCUCUUUGUGAAUAAUGAGGAGUAAUGACGGUACCUAAAUAAGAAGCCACGGCUAACUACGUGCCAGCAGCCGCGGUAAUACGUAGGUGGCAAGCGUUGUCCGGAAUGAUUGGGCGUAAAGCGCGCGCAGGCGGGAUAUCAAGUCUGUCUUAAAAGUGCGAGGCUAAACCUCGUGAGGGGACAGAAACUGGUAUUCUUGAGUGUCGGAGAGGAAAGUGGAAUUCCAAGUGUAGCGGUGAAAUGCGUAGAGAUUUGGAAGAACACCAGUGGCGAAGGCGACUUUCUGGACGAUGUCUGACGCUGAGGCGCGAAAGCUAGGGGAGCGAACGGGAUUAGAUACCCUUGUAGUCC
Molecule: ribosomal RNA, 450 nt
Filed under: uncultured bacterium
Lineage: Bacteria
Description: partial 16S ribosomal RNA
Rfam family: Bacterial small subunit ribosomal RNA
Source: RNAcentral